RNAcentral lists this ribosomal RNA (439 nucleotides) under uncultured bacterium. RNAcentral describes it as "partial 16S ribosomal RNA". It matches the Rfam family "Bacterial small subunit ribosomal RNA", at positions 339 to 795 of the family's 1533-position model. The record is from RNAcentral.
CUACGGGUGGCUGCAGUGGGGAAUAUUGCACAAUGGGGGGACCCCUGAUGCAGCAACGCCGCGUGGAGGCUGAAGCAUUUCGGUGUGUAAACUCCUUUUAUAUGUCAAGAAAAUGACGGUAGCAUAUGAAUAAGCACCGGCUAACUCCGUGCCAGCAGCCGCGGUAAUACGGAGGGUGCAAGCGUUACUCGGAAUCACUGGGCGUAAAGGACGCGUAGGCGGGUUGGAAAGUCAGGUGUGAAAUCCUACAGCUUAACUGUAGAACUGCACUUGAAACUUCUAAUCUAGAGUAUGGGAGGGGGAGAUGGAAUUAGUGGUGUAGGGGUAAAAGCCGUAGAUAUCACUAGGAAUACCAAAAGCGAAGGCGAUCUCCUGGAACAUUACUGACGCUAAGGCGUGAAAGCGUGGGGAGCAAACAGGAUUAGAUACCCCCGUAGUC